Molecule: ribosomal RNA, 244 nt
Filed under: uncultured Staphylococcus sp.
Lineage: Bacteria; Bacillati; Bacillota; Bacilli; Caryophanales; Staphylococcaceae
Description: partial 16S ribosomal RNA
Rfam family: Bacterial small subunit ribosomal RNA
Source: RNAcentral
CGGCGGACGGGUGAGUAACACGUGGAUAACCUACCUAUAAGACUGGGAUAACUUCGGGAAACCGGAGCUAAUACCGGAUAACAUGUUGAACCGCAUGGUUCAACAGUGAAAGACGGUCUUGCUGUCACUUAUAGAUGGGUCCGCGCCGCAUUAGCUAGUUGGUAAGGUAACGGCUUACCAAGGCAACGAUGCGUAGCCGACCUGAGAGGGUGAUCGGCCACACUGGAACUGAGACACGGUCCAG